This 253-nucleotide ribosomal RNA is filed under the name uncultured bacterium. RNAcentral's name for it is "partial 16S ribosomal RNA". It matches the Rfam family "Bacterial small subunit ribosomal RNA", at positions 524 to 776 of the family's 1533-position model. The record is from RNAcentral.
UACGUAGGGGGCAAGCGUUGUCCGGAUUUAUUGGGCGUAAAGAGCGUGUAGGCGGCCAGGUAGGUCUGCUGUGAAAACUCGAGGCUCAACCUCGAGACGUCGGCGGAAACCAUCCAGCUAGAGUCCGGAAGAGGAGAGUGGAAUUCCUGGUGUAGCGGUGAAAUGCGCAGAUAUCAGGAAGAACACCCGUGGCGAAAGCGGCUCUCUGGGACGGUACUGACGCUGAGACGCGAAAGCGUGGGGAGCAAACAGG